AAUCCAAGACGGGGAUUAGAAAGGUUUUCAUCCCCAGCCUGGUGGUGGUGGUGCGGGGUGGUUUCCAGCCCACACCUGUGCAGGUGUGCGCGGUGGCUGCCUGCUGCAGGGCGGGCCCCAGGACUCGACCUGGUCCUACUGACGCACAACUCCUUAGAGAUCGCGGGGGCUGGUGACCUUCGGUUGGUGCAAUCUCGCUGGACAAAGGCCAGCUUUGAAGAAAGCAGAGAAACUGAGGAGGGCAAGGUGCUGAGGAGGGUCAGGGGAGCUGACCUUAUCUCCUCUUGCCAAGAAUGCAAGAGUGACUUCAGGCCCCCCCAGUCCCACCAGUCUCCCCAGUCCGCAGAAGGAGACAAGGUCACCUGCGAAAGGGUGGGGAACGAGUUUGCGCUGUCGGAGGGGGGCAGGGGCCGCUUCCCAGGCCGCCGGGAGCGGGGUCUGGCCGUUCCCACGGGUGCCCCCUCGGCAGAUGGGCCCAGGGCUCUUUGUCCCGGGUCUGCAGCCGCCACAAGGUCAAAUGUCACCGCGGGGCCGCGGGCAGGGGUCAAGGGGGCGGGGCCGGACUUCGACCCCCACCCCCCCAGCCCAGGAGGGCCCCAGGGGGCUCGGGGCCUUGGCGCUUGGGGAAGGGGGCAGGGCCGCCCUCGAGGGGUGGGACCUACCAGAGGUUCUAGGAUAUUCCCCCUUGCCUCCAAACCGGCCCUAGUACCCCGCAACUGGUGUCCCUCAAGCCCCAGGCCCCUGCCUCUCCACUCUCAGGUCCCCUUGACUCCCUUCCCUGAACCUGGUCUCCCAAGAUGCCUUCCUUCUCCCCUGCCCAAGAAUGCUGAAAAGUGCAGACCAGAGACCUGGGACCCCUGUCCUCAACCCCAAAUAACCAGCCAGCACCUCCAGAACAUUUCCAGGCAAUCCCAGAACAAAAUGGUCCUCUCUAACCAUCCAGACCCCCAUCUCCAGCAGGGCUUACAGGGCCGGGAAUUCCACUCUAGUCAGUCCUACAGAAAGUCCUCGCUCAUGUCUAACCACAGUCUUUUGGCUUCCUGCACUUGCUAA
RNAcentral lists this long non-coding RNA (1053 nucleotides) under Vulpes vulpes (red fox). RNAcentral describes it as "lncRNA (ENSVVUG00000016202.1)". The record is from RNAcentral. Lineage: Eukaryota; Metazoa; Chordata; Mammalia; Carnivora; Canidae.